GACGAACCGUGCGAACGUUAUUCGGAAUCAUUGGGCUUAAAGGGCGCGUAGGCGGGUGACCGCGUCGAGUGCUGAAAGCCCCCGGCUCAACCGGGGAAUGGGCCUCGAGACGGGUCGCCUGGAGGCGAGGAGGGGGACCUGGAACUUCCGGUGGAGCGGUGAAAUGCGUUGAGAUCGGAAGGAACGCCGACGGCGAAAGCAAGGUCCUGGACAAGUACUGACACUCAACUGCGAAAGCGUGGGGAGCAAACAGG
RNAcentral lists this ribosomal RNA (254 nucleotides) under uncultured bacterium. RNAcentral's name for it is "partial 16S ribosomal RNA". It matches the Rfam family "Bacterial small subunit ribosomal RNA", at positions 524 to 776 of the family's 1533-position model. The record is from RNAcentral.